UACGUAGGGUGCAAGCGUUAAUCGGAAUUACUGGGCGUAAAGCGCGCGUAGGCGGCUUUGUAUGUCGAUUGUGAAAGCCCCGGGCUCAACCUGGGAACUGCAGUCGAAACUGCAAAGCUUGAAUGUUGGAGAGGUUGGGGAAUACCGUAGUGGAGAAGUGAAAUUCGUAGAGAUUAGGUGGAACACCAGAGGCGAAGGCGCCUGACUGGCCAAACAUUGACGCUGAGGCGCGAAAGCGUGGGUAGCAAACAGG
RNAcentral lists this ribosomal RNA (253 nucleotides) under uncultured bacterium. Its description in RNAcentral is "partial 16S ribosomal RNA". It matches the Rfam family "Bacterial small subunit ribosomal RNA", at positions 524 to 776 of the family's 1533-position model. The record is from RNAcentral.